CGGCAGGAGACGCAUCAUUAUUACUCAGUCACACAAGGAGGAGCAUGAGUAGAGGAGGCAGGAGACGCAUCAUUAUUACUCAGUCACACAAGGAGGAGCAUGAGUAGAGGAGGCAGGAGACGCAUCAUUAUUACUCAGUCACACAAGGAGGAGCAUGAGUAGAGGGGGCAGGAGACGCAUCAUUAUUACUCAGUCACACAAGGAGGAGCAUGAGUAGAGGGGGCAGGAGACCACAGCUUUGAAUUUCAAGACCUCAGUGUUUUGCCACCACAUCACACUGACUCAGGUCCAUUGUGCUCUGCUUGAUGCUCAUCCCCAUGAAUUUUUAAUUGGAAGUUGGAGGAGAAAUGAUUACGCAUGCACCAAGAAAACAUGAUGCAUGGGCCAGUUGUACUGUUUCCAAAAUAUUUAGAAAGGCAAUAAAGUCCUCAUGGUAUAGUUCCUGACUUCAACACGUUGUUUUCUGUCAGUCGCACUAAUUUCAUUCCAUUUACUAAAUGAAUUUUUAUGUGAAGAGUUUAUGAAACAUAAAGUUGGAUGGAAUAUGUAUGUGUGUAUGUAUAGAACAUGUAUAUCUAUAACUUAUGUGGUUUAAAGAUAAGUGUUUGGAGAACUAUGUCUAGAUACUCAUGUCGCAACAGAAGAAAGGGUGGGGGAAAAAACUGUAACUGCAAUGUAUACAUCUAAGGAUGACCUGACCCCCUUGCUGUACAGUGGGAAAAUAAAAAAAAAAAAAAAAAAAAAAAAAAAAAGAUAAGUGUUUGGCGUCUGAAACAGUACUGAGAAUUAGAUGCAGACAUAGAAUUAUUUUGUCAUUUAUGUGUGCACAUGUGCAAGUGCAGAGCUGUGUGUACCCAGGGAAUGGGGGGUACACACAUAGUGUGUUCGGUCGAUGAUACUUAUGGCACAGUUUUAUGUGAGACGAUCUCAUAAUAGAAGGUAAUGGAUACCAAACUGUAUUUACAGAAAUGUGACUUGGCAAAUAUGAGGGCAGGAAAAGGAAAGCUUCAUCAGCAUGCCUGCUUUAGAGGUCUCGGUACAGGAUGGCUUUGAGGCCAGAACACAUUGCUAUUAUAUAAGUAUGUUUUGUUUUUUUUUUUCAAAUCAAAAUACAAUAUUUUUC
Molecule: non-coding RNA, 1123 nt
Organism: Sus scrofa (pig)
Lineage: Eukaryota; Metazoa; Chordata; Mammalia; Artiodactyla; Suidae
Source: RefSeq, a predicted model, not a curated record